This 168-nucleotide ribosomal RNA is filed under the name uncultured bacterium. RNAcentral's name for it is "partial 16S ribosomal RNA". It matches the Rfam family "Bacterial small subunit ribosomal RNA", at positions 1334 to 1500 of the family's 1533-position model. The record is from RNAcentral.
GCUAGUAAUCGCGGAUCAGCAACGCCGCGGUGAAUGCGUUCCCGGGCCUUGUACACACCGCCCGUCAAGUCAUGAAAGUGGGCAGCACCCGAAGACGGUGGCCUAACCCUUGUGGGGGAGCCGUCUAAGGUGAGGCUCGUGAUUGGGACUAAGUCGUAACAAGGUAUC